AUAAAGUUUUAUUUUGGCUUUAAAGUUUAUUAUUAGUUUAUUUUACAUGCAAAUUUAAGUGUGAUAUAGUUGGUGCUUAAAAAGCGCUUGGUUUAAUUGGUUCGCAGUAGUUAAUAUUAUUAAUUAAGGAAACUUAGAAAUAGAAAUAUUAUGAAGUAUUGGCUAAAUUUGUGCCAGCAGCCGCGGUUAUACAAAUAAUACAAGUAAAUUUAGUUGGUUUUAGUCUAAUUUAAAUUUUUAAACUAAUCUUAUUUUUAUUAGGUGAAAUUUUAAAAAUGUAAAUGUUUUAUUUUAUUUAAUUGAUGCUAGGAAACUUAAAUAAAAAACUAGGAUUAGAUACCCUAUUAUUUUUAGUGUAAAUGUAAUACCUGAGUAGUAGUAGUUAUGUUCUUGAAACUUAAAAAAUUUGGCGGUAUUUUAGUCUAUUCAGAGGAACCUGUUCUGUAAUCGAUAAUCCACGUUGGACCUUUCUUGCUCUUGUUUUCAGUUUAUAUACCGUCGUUAUCAGAGAAUUUUAAAAGAAAAACAAUUCUCUUUAAUUUUUAUAAGAAUUUAUAUCAGAUCAAGGUGUAGCUUAUGGGUAAGUAGAAAUGGGUUACAAUAAAGUUAUUUAUAUGGAUGUAAAUUUGAAACUCUUACUGAAAGUGGAUUUGAUAGUAAAGUUGUAUAGAUUAUCAACUUGAUUUUAGCUCUAUAAUAUGCACACAUCGCCCGUCGCUCUUAUUACUAAGAUAAGAUAAGUCGUAACAUAGUAGAUGUACCGGAAGGUGUAUCUAGAAUGAC
RNAcentral lists this non-coding RNA (783 nucleotides) under Trypetoptera punctulata. The record is from RNAcentral. Lineage: Eukaryota; Metazoa; Arthropoda; Insecta; Diptera; Sciomyzidae.